RNAcentral lists this ribosomal RNA (516 nucleotides) under Triticum aestivum (bread wheat). RNAcentral describes it as "partial small subunit ribosomal RNA". The record is from RNAcentral. Lineage: Eukaryota; Viridiplantae; Streptophyta; Magnoliopsida; Poales; Poaceae.
AUGGCGCUCCCAUCACAUCCAUCCGUCAAGGGGGGUCGACCAAGGCGGACUGCUGCUUUCUUCCUUCCUCCGGCGCUCGCUCCUCAACUCAAGCCCAACAUCCACCGCCACCGCCGCUGGUUCGGUUCUGCCGCCGUUGUCAAGCAUCUGCUUUGUGGAACACAGGAGAACCACACCCCUGGCCUCUUCAUCUACGCCUCGGUUGUUGUCUCCCCAAGCAACGCCAAAGGCAACAAUAGCAAGAUUGGCCAGGUUGCAUUUGCAAGGGAGUGUAGCAGAUUCGACGUGGCGACCGAGUUGCUCCUGAAUGCGGAGAAGUGGUGCCGCCUGGCCGGUGAAGUGGCCGGCAGCAGGAAGUCUGCCGUAGACAUCGUCGAGAUCCUCUUCAAGGACAGCGCCUGGAAGACGCUCAGCGACCAGAUCAUUGUGUCAUCCUCUCCAAGAGGGGCCAGCUCAAGCAGUAAAAAGGCUUUAUUAUCAAGUGGCAUCAUCUGGCAUGAAUUAGAUCUAAAAUAA